Molecule: non-coding RNA, 214 nt
Organism: Cinara cedri
Lineage: Eukaryota; Metazoa; Arthropoda; Insecta; Hemiptera; Aphididae
Source: the annotation of a GenBank genome assembly
CUCGUCGUCUACUACCUGUUUUGGCCGUUCCUCCUUGUAUUAUACCUAUAUUGUACACCUAAAUGCGCGUCUUUUUAUUUUUAUGCUGUGUGGGAACACGUUGACCCUUGGAUGCGAGAGAAUCACUGCGGUGUUGCAGGGACGAAAGAUCCCAUCGUAUAAUAUGUAUAGUGUAUACACUAUACAUAUUUAUAUUCAGUUUUCUAUAUUUUAU